GAUGAACGCUCGCUACAGGCUUAACACAUGCAAGUCGCAGGGUAACAUGAGGAAAGCUUGCUUUCCUUGAUGACGACUGGCGCACGGGUGAGUAACGCGUAUCCAACCUUCCCAUAACUACGGGAUAACCCGUUGAAAGACGGCCUAAUACCGUAUGACAUCGUUUGCUGACAUCAAAUAACGAUUAAAGGUUUAGCGGUUAUGGAUGGGGAUGCGUCUGAUUAGCUUGUUGGCGGGGUAACGGCCCACCAAGGCGACGAUCAGUAGGGGUUCUGAGAGGAAGGUCCCCCACAUUGGAACUGAGACACGGUCCAAACUCCUACGGGAGGCAGCAGUGAGGAAUAUUGGUCAAUGGGCGAGAGCCUGAACCAGCCAAGUAGCGUGCAGGAUGACGGCCCUAUGGGUUGUAAACUGCUUUUAUGUGGGGAUAAAGUGCGUGACGUGUCAUGCAUUGCAGGUACCACAUGAAUAAGGACCGGCUAAUUCCGUG
Molecule: ribosomal RNA, 490 nt
Filed under: uncultured bacterium
Lineage: Bacteria
Description: partial 16S ribosomal RNA
Rfam family: Bacterial small subunit ribosomal RNA
Source: RNAcentral